Molecule: ribosomal RNA, 253 nt
Filed under: uncultured bacterium
Lineage: Bacteria
Description: partial 16S ribosomal RNA
Rfam family: Bacterial small subunit ribosomal RNA
Source: RNAcentral
UACGAAGGGGGCUAGCGUUAUUCGGAAUCACUGGGCGUAAAGAGCGCGUAGGCGGUCUUGUAAGUUGGAAGUGAAAUGCCGAAGCUUAACUUCGGAACUGCUUUCAAAACUGCUAUUCUAGAGAUAGGUAGGGGAUGGUGGAAUUCCUAGUGUAGAGGUGAAAUUCGUAGAUAUUAGGAGGAACACCGGAGGCGAAGGCGACCAUCUGGACCAAAACUGACGCUGAGGCGCGAAAGCGUGGGGAGCAAACAGG